AUGGAUCUUUAUCGCAUUUGCUCAUAUGAUGUCUGGAUGGGGCAUACAUGGAUCUCAGCCACAAGUAUAAAGCUUAUAGGAGAAGUCUGGCAAGUGGCAUUUCACAUAUGCACACUGACAUAUGGCCUAAUAGCCCCAGACAUAUACACACUGUCAUUGUUGGUUUCACUUGUAGGUUAAGCACCACUGAGUGAAGGGAUGAGAACCUGUCCUCUGGUUGGUAAGCUCUUGCUGAUCUGAGUCAAUCAGAGCACCUCUGAACUGUAUUGUCCAAUGAUUACUCAGUUCACUGAAGUCAAAAAUCAAAGCUCAGAAGUGGGUCUGAAGAUAUUCAUAAGUUUUCAGAAUUUAGCCUGAGUUAAGAACUAGGGGGCUGGACACUUGGCAAUGGGCAGUAAGAGGGAAAUGAAGCACAGAGUGCAUGCACAGCCCUGAUGGACACUACUAGCAAAGAAAAAUCCAGUGUUGCACGUAUGUGAUUCAUGCACACCUAGAGUGGGACCCAUGCUGACACAAACUCAGAGAAGAACCUCAGUUAUGCCCACAAAUAAUUGUGGAUACAAUUUUGUAUUCACAAUUUUUAAUGCCUACAAAAUCAUAGACCAAAAUAUGGAAGCCUUGUUAAGGCUGGACUGAAAAUGAGGCCAAUGUUACUAAUUUAUUAGAACUUAGUCAUGUACAAUCAACAGGAUUUUUAUAAAAAUAGAAUCUGGUGCUACAUUUAAUUGUUAUUUAGGUCUUUAAAAAGUGGGAAGAUCUAUCUUUUUCAUCCUGUAAUUAUUACCUUGGUAUCUGAGCUAUUAAUAGCAGCUUAGUAGUAUUAUUUUUAAAGUGACACCGCAAGGCAAAAAAUCAUGGGCCAAAUCCCCAGCUGGUAUAAACUGAUGCGUCUCCAUUUAAGUGAUUGGUGUUUUGGUGAUAAAAUCUUAGUCCAAAUUAGGAUACAGGCCAACGAAAUGGGAGCUAUACCAGUUUACACUUGCUGAUUAUGUAGAUUGUGGCAGUGCCAAAAUAUGCUAGGCACUCUCCAAACACAGAGGAUAAAUUUUAAUUAGAAUCUACAAUUAUAAAUAUAAAGGUACUGCCAGAUAUUGUGAUGACUCGGCAGAAAAACACAAUGGCAGUCAGCAAGGUCUCUACCUCAACAUUUAGCCUUUGUUCUAAGGAAACAAAAUAAAUUAAUCUGAUCAGAAUGAGGAAUAGGAAUCUCCCCAGGUUGACGUUCACCGCUCAUUUCAGGUGCUGAAGUCUAACUUCCCAAAGGCAUUUUCCUUCUCCUCCUGACUUCCUAUGCAUCUAUGCAAGAGGACUGAAGAGGACCUGAAGGUUAACCAAAGGAGAUUCAGUUAACAGAUCCUGUGGUUUUGGAAGGGCCAUCCAUUUACUUACGAAUUCUUCCAGCCAAACCUGUCAGUUUUAACAAACACUUCAUACACACCCAAAGUAAAGAAUGCUCCAUAACCAUCCAGAAAUAGAAGGCGACAGAGGGUCACUGGGAUUACAUCAGCCUAGCAAAAGUCAACUUAUUUUUUCGAAUCAUCAUUUCUUUUUGUUGUCAAAUCACAACGGCCACUGCCACAACCAGCACUCUUGUUGGCAGUCUUGGGAGAGAGGCCAAGGACUGCAUGGGCCUGGAAACAGAAUCGUCAUCUCAUCCCUGCUAGAGAUGGUUCCUCCAAGCCAGCUUUGAUGAAUUCUAAAAAUUGCAUAAUUGCCUAACUUUGUUGGAGAUCCCAAGAAACGUGUGGUAUUUGGAAACAUACAAACUGUCUGUUUGCAUACUGAGCCAUGGGGAAUGGAGAGAUUGUGACAUCAACAAGAGGAAGAAACAAACAGCCGUGGGUGUCCAGUUUAUGAAUAAAGGCAAAGGACUGGUCUAGCAUAGCAAAGAGACACACUGACUUUCACCUAGGUGGCAAACUGACAGUGUGCCUGUCUCAUGAAAGAAGUGUCAUGGCCUGCCUGGCUGUAAAGCGCUGCAAGGAUUUUGGAUGUGCAAUACUUUAUUAGACACGAGAGUAUCUCAUUAAAUUAAGUCUACACUGUGUGUUAUGAUUUUAUAUGUAACCAUUUAUUGCCAGUAUUCCUAUUUGAAUCUCUGUGUGUUGUUAAAUACACUUAUACUUGAUUUCACUACCAACAAAUCUAAGUGCUGUGAGGUAAGCGGAGCAGUGAGCCGAGAUGGAACUGGUAAGCUGGGCGUCCUGCUUCUUUGGAAGUGGUGGAUCAGUGAAUAUUGCAAA
Long non-coding RNA from Dermochelys coriacea (leatherback sea turtle), 2243 nucleotides. RefSeq lists it as uncharacterized. NCBI's taxonomy places the organism in Eukaryota, Metazoa, Chordata, Testudines, Dermochelyidae. The transcript is spliced from 6 exons. The record is from RefSeq and is a predicted model, not a curated record.